UGGGGAAUCUUGGACAAUGGGCGCAAGCCUGAUCCAGCCAUGCCGCGUGAGUGAAGAAGGCCUUAGGGUUGUAAAACUCUUUCGCCGGAGAAGAUAAUGACGGUAUCCGGAGAAGAAGCCCCGGCUAACUUCGUGCCAGCAGCCGCGGUAAUACGAAGGGGGCUAGCGUUGUUCGGAAUUACUGGGCGUAAAGCGCACGUAGGCGGGUCUGUAAGUAGGGGGUGAAAUCCCAGGGCUCAACCCUGGAACUGCCUUCUAGACUGCAGGCCUGGAGGUCAGGAGAGGCGAGUGGAAUACCGAGUGUAGAGGUGAAAUUCGUAGAUAUUCGGUGGAACACCAGUGGCGAAGGCGACUCGCUGGACUGAUACUGACGCUGAGGUGCGAAAGCGUGGGGAGCAAACAGGAUUAGAUACC
RNAcentral lists this ribosomal RNA (414 nucleotides) under uncultured bacterium. RNAcentral describes it as "bacterial SSU rRNA". It matches the Rfam family "Bacterial small subunit ribosomal RNA", at positions 355 to 786 of the family's 1533-position model. The record is from RNAcentral.